Molecule: non-coding RNA, 3472 nt
Organism: Cricetulus griseus (Chinese hamster)
Lineage: Eukaryota; Metazoa; Chordata; Mammalia; Rodentia; Cricetidae
Source: RefSeq, a predicted model, not a curated record
GCAGCAUUUGUACCUAAUAUAAGUUUCUGUGUAUUAUUUGGGGACCUAACUCAGCAGGCAGAACUCAGGUGGCUGGCGGAAAGCGCCCAUGUGGCGGUAGGACUCUGGUGGCUUUUGGCAGAAUGAUUUAUCCUAACAUCCAACAGUUAAUAUGUGUUACCUAUAAAUGCUGUAGUUCCUUAAAAACUACUAUUGCUGAUUCUGAUCUUCUUCCCACUUUAAGAAAAUUAGAUGUCUUCUCUUGAAGUUAAAAGUUAACAUCUGGAGGGCAGUCUCUUCAUGCUGUUGUUGUAUUUUAACUAUUCCCAUCAAUGAAAUCCAUAAGUCUGAGAACAAUACAUUCACUACAACUCUGUCACCCAAUGAAAAUAGUACAGUACAGCUAUGGUUUUCUGAAGUGUAUUAUGCUCCAUCUGUUAGAUUCAACUUCUUUGAUAAUCACAUACACAAUUUGUGGAUAUUGAGGCAUUUAACCUCAUCCCACCAUAGUUAUCCAAGUACUCAGCCUCUUCUUGGGCAUCACCUCUCACCAGCUGCACUUCGUUGAUGGCCUCUGCCAGUCAUGCUGAACCAAUUAACAGAUAGCAGUGAGACAAGAUCAUCCCGACUGCUGUCCUAAGGAUAUUUCAAAACCGCAGUCAGCUCAUCUCAAAUAGUGCCAACUCCAGCAUCGCCUCAGUCCUAUGGUGAGAAGUGGAAAUAGAGAAGAUGGAUAGUGGGAGAGACUCCACUCUGCUCUCCUCCUUCUCAAGGCCCUUUGCAAGUUAGUAACAGGAAGCAUAUGAUUUUCUAAUGGAGGAAAUGAAGCACUGAUUAUCAAGUGGCAGAACCUAUGGAAGAUUUCCAAGGUUUUGAAACACCUGUCUAGAGAGUGAAAAUGAAUGCAUCCAUCCAGGUGUUUGGCCUCCAUGUUGAGAGAUAUCAAACACUCUUGGAGCCAUCUGGGUCAUUGCACUAAGAUCUGGUGUCCUGUGAGCAGCUGAUGCAAUUUUCCUCAGUCACAGGGAUGAAUCUUGGAUAACGUUUCUGGCUCUGAGAAAUCCCCAAGUCACAGAGAGACAAUGUGGUUGACCCGAGGCUUGGCGCUCCUGUUACAGCAUGUUCCACAGCAGUGUCCCUGGGGAUAACGUGAGAGUUUUUAACAGUGCUGAAAGUCGCCCAGUAAUCACCCUGUGUGGAUUUCACUAGCAUUCCAAAGACAUCCCAAACAAUUCCAAGAAGACUUUGGGGACCCAGUAAGGUUUUCUAAACAUUUUCUUUCUGCCUGAAAACACUGAAGAUAAACAGCUUCCCCAAACUCCCAUAAUAACACAGAGUCAUUUGAUCAUGAACACAAGUCAUCAAUUGCCAUUCCGCCCCAAAACCACAACAGUCCAAAGAAGUCAUUCCUGACCAGCUAUCAAAAGGUCAGAGGAAGAAUCAUUCUUGAUGGGCUUCAGAGCAGUGUUCCUGGUUUCCCCUGCCCCACCAGCCUCACAGCUGGAACUAUGAAACAGCCAGACAGCCCACGGAUCAAGUUGCAGCAACACCACAUCAAGGCUUCAACUUAAAAAGUUUCUUUUCACUAGUAGUAUUGAAGGCACUGUAGAAAUGACUACAACAUGAAAGCUUCCUUUCAAAAGGGGAUUUGGAAACUCACUGGGUGAAUGUGACUGGUCUCUCUUCUUUGCUGAAGGAUUUAUGGCACAACCUUGUUCGUAUCCCUCAUGUUCCCAGUUUGAGUCUCAAUACCAGCCCCACCAUAGGACAGGAAAAAGGCUGUUUACCAUUCUACAGCUGAGAAGACUGAAGCCUGAGCAAGUACAUUGGCCCAGUGUCCUGAAAGGAAGAAGCUGUAGAGUUGGAAUGUAAAGUCAGGUGUUUGGACUCUCAGUCAAGAGCCAUUUUUUUUUUUUUGACAAUGGAAAUAUGAGACCUGCAGAUUAUCAUAGAUGGAGACCUAGAAAAGCCACGCCAUGUCCACGGGUGGCACGGAUAGGUGUUUUCUUUCAAUGGUACCCCAGAGGGAACUCAGGUUUGAGAAAACUAGGAGUGGAUAGUGUUUCCAGUACAAGAUACUGCAUCAGCUUUUGGAAAUCUCUGAGACCAGCAGAUAGAGCUUCUCAUGUUUACUUCCAAAGACACAGGUAAUUUCUUCCCUUGACCCCCACACACUUCACCCAAUAUCCCAGCAUGGAAACAAAUAGCAUACACAUCGUUAGCCAUCCAGGGCAGGUGCAAGGUCCUUAAGUUGUUGCAUUUGUUGAAACUUUCCCCAGGUGCUGAUCGGAAAGCUUAUGAUUGAGAGGUUCCUUGAGAGACACAAAUUUAGAACAUUCUCCAAGGAGCCUAUCUGCUUCCCAACAAUGGAAACAAGGACUGCUCCAGGAAGCUCUUCACUUCCAAAGGGUCCAGAAUCAGCUUGGGGGCUGCCUUUCUCUUUAAGAAGGGAACUUUUGGAGUCUCCCUGGCUAUUCCUCCAGUAAGCACCACUCCAGCCUGGCAAUAGAGCAAAGCCUGCUUCAUUCAGAUGCUGUCUGCCUACAACCUUUUCAGGGGGGAAGCCACAGAGGCAGCCUGGCUGUCUAGUUUCAGUACAAGCAUUUCUUUACCCAGUGUUCAUGUCGUAGCCCUCUUUUCCAUCCCUUCCAAAAUAUUUUGUUUUCCAACUCUUGUUUCUCCUCCAUGCUGUGUUGAGAAGGAUCUAAAACAUCCUCCCUGGUUUCCUAAACUGUUGUUUUUGUUUUUGUUUCAAACCACAGCCUAAAUUUAACUCUAAGCCCAGCUGACCCAGCUGGCCAGUGGUUGAGGGUGGGCCUUCGUUGUUGCCUUGAGGACAAUUACCUUAAGCCAAUCAAGUGCAGAUAAGCUUCGGAUAUGACUGAGUACAAGGGUGUUGUUGGGAGGCCUUUGGGAAGAGCCUUCAGACAUGUUUUCCUUUUUGCUUUUCUAAUCUAUUCAAAGAUAGCAAGAUUAAUCCUCCUAAAUAAUAUAUUUUGUGAACACUAUGAAAGGCACGAUCCUGAUGUAUGUUUGUAUUUCUCUACCCUUUACCCACAAAUGAAGAAUGAGUCUUUUAGCAUGGCCUAAAGAGUCUCUGAGGUCUGGCCUCAAUUUUCCUUUCCAAUUUUAUGGCUUAUUCAGUCGUAUUGCUUGUUUCAUUUCACACUUCCUUCCAUACCCUGACUCGGUCUUGUCCUUUACUGCUAGGUCUGCCCUUUAUGCCUGUCAAAUCACCUCCUGCUUUAUGGCCUUUAUUCAAAGCUUAGCUGAGUAUUUUCUUUUGAAUGAAGCCUUUAUGGAUGUAUCUGGACUACAUCACUACUCCUCUGCUUUGUAACUAUGAGAAUACCUGUUCUGCUGGAUGAUGCUUUAUAAUAUGCUCUAUGUUGUGACAGCCUUGUGCAAUUAUUUUGUUUUAUUUUUCUAAGCUGUGCUGUUUUUAUGCCAGUGGAUUAUAGUUUUAAAAUACAAUAAAAAAAAAUCUCUGUCA